CCAACGCGUUGGGAGCUCUCCCAUAUGGUCGACCUGCAGGCGGCCGCGAAUUCACUAGUGAUUAGAGUUUGAUCAUGGCUCAGAGUGAACGCUGGCGGCGUGGAUCAGGCAUGCAAGUCGUGCGAUCUCGCAAGAGAUAGCGGCAGACGGGUGAGGAACACGUGAGUAAUCUGCCCUUUAGCAAGACAUAGCUUCGUGAAAACGGAGGUAAUAUCUUAUAAUAUCCUUGACAUGCAUGUGUUAAGGAUUAAAGACCGGGACCGCAAGGCCGGUCGCUUAAGGAUGAGCUCGCGUCCUAUCAGCUAGUUGGUGAGGUAACGGCCCACCAAGGCUUUUGACGGGUAGCUGGUCUGAGAGGAUGGUCAGCCACACUGGGACUGAGACACUGCCCAGACUCCUACGGGAGGCUGCAGUCGAGAAUCUUUAGCAAUGGGCGAAAGCCUGACUAUGCGACGCCGCGUGAGGGAUGAAGGUCUUCGGAUCGUAAACCUCUUUUGACAGGGAAGAAACCUCCAUGGUGAAUAACUGUGGAAUGACGGUACCUGUCGAA
RNAcentral lists this ribosomal RNA (550 nucleotides) under uncultured bacterium. RNAcentral describes it as "bacterial SSU rRNA". The stretch from base 57 to 550 matches the Rfam family "Bacterial small subunit ribosomal RNA", at positions 1 to 486 of the family's 1533-position model. The record is from RNAcentral.